Non-coding RNA from Biomphalaria pfeifferi, 1133 nucleotides. NCBI's taxonomy places the organism in Eukaryota, Metazoa, Mollusca, Gastropoda, Planorbidae. The record is from the annotation of a GenBank genome assembly.
UAUAUAUAUAUAUAUACAUGAAUUAUAUUUAUAUACAAUGGAGACACGACAUUAAAAUUGGUACUAGGCGAAAUGAAUAAACUAAACCGGUUAAGUAUAUUUCAAAGAUCUAUAUUAUGAACUAACUAAUGUUUACACAUAGUUCGAAUUCAAAAGUAGCAUAUCAUGACAAACUGGAUCUAGACGAGACCAAACACUGAUCCUCGACGUCGGAACCUUUGGGCAGUUUAGACCAAUAGUUCUUUGCCACGUCACAGGUCGUCAAUAAACACUCCCUGUUAAUAACGCUUUAAUAUUAACUACUAUUAUUAUAUAUGCUUAAUUUCCUACUAAAGCAAUAGUAAUAACUAAAAGAAACUGAAUGAUGGCCAGGUACUCGCUAGGACAGUUAUAGACAAUAAACGAUAAGCCAAUUAAUUCAAAGUAAUGACAAAACAACAGGCUUUUUAUGCUGUUUAUGCGUUAUGUAGGGCCUCAUUUUUUUUUUUUUUUUUUACAUUGCAUGUAGAAGUAUCUAGUGUUCAAUCUAUUGGAGCCACAUGAAAUAACAAAUAUUUCCAAGCAUAUUUUUACAAAAUAAUAUUUUUAAAAAAGGGUGAUAAUGCGAUAAAAUGAAAUAAUAAAAAUAUCUAACACUGAAAUAUGUUUCACAAAUUACAAGUGGUUCGUUAAUAAAUAAAAUAUUUCUUGCCAAGUAUAAUGCACACAUUUGUCGAGAUAUUCAAAAUGUGAAGGUUUUUUUUUUUUUUUAAUGUAAUAAGCUUUGACCAUUUUCAACCGUUAUUUUAGCUCCGGUGCUACAGGAUUGUGGGAUUGCAAAAGGGAACAUAAAAUUGUAAGAAUUGUAAUACUUUGGUAUAGUUUUUGAGUGCUCUCCUCUUUUCACGUGAAUCAGAAUAGAAAAUAUUUUUUUUGUAAUUUAUAAUUCAAAUUUUAGGCUGUCUUGUAUUUGUUUAAUUUUAUUUAUUCAUAUUGCUCAGUUCUUUGUUGUCUUUUUGGAAGGAUGAUAAUAUAUGGUAAGGAAAUAUUAUUUCUUGCAUAGGGGGAAUAAGAGAAUUUACGAGCUAUUAAUAUUUAAUCAAUUUCAACAAUAAAAAAAAAUUAGGUUCAAAAUGAAAAAAUUGAAAAAAAAA